Molecule: ribosomal RNA, 424 nt
Filed under: uncultured bacterium
Lineage: Bacteria
Description: bacterial SSU rRNA
Rfam family: Bacterial small subunit ribosomal RNA
Source: RNAcentral
UGGGGAAUUUUGCGCAAUGGGGGAAACCCUGACGCAGCAACGCCGCGUGGAGGAUGAAGUCCCUUGGGAUGUAAACUCCUUUCGAUCGGGACGAUUAUGACGGUACCGGAAGAAGAAGCACCGGCUAACUCUGUGCCAGCAGCCGCGGUAAUACAGAGGGUGCAAGCGUUGUUCGGAAUUAUUGGGCGUAAAGGGUGCGUAGGCGGUGCGGUAAGUUUGUGGUGAAAUCUUCAGGCUCAACUUGAAGACUGCCGCGAAGACUGCCGUGCUGGAGUAUGGGAGAGGUGAGUGGAAUUCCUGGUGUAGCGGUGAAAUGCGUAGAUAUCAGGAGGAACACCUGUGGCGAAAGCGGCUCACUGGACCAUAACUGACGCUGAUGCACGAAAGCUAGGGGAGCAAACAGGAUUAGAUACCCCCGUAGUCC